Molecule: ribosomal RNA, 414 nt
Filed under: bacterium enrichment culture clone ALO1_GLFRUDD03FOZGM
Lineage: Bacteria
Description: bacterial SSU rRNA
Rfam family: Bacterial small subunit ribosomal RNA
Source: RNAcentral
GAGUUUGAUCUUGGCUCAGAUUGAACGCUGGCGGCAUGCCUUACACAUGCAAGUCGAACGGCAGCACGGGAGCUUGCUCCUGGUGGCGAGUGGCGAACGGGUGAGUAAUGCAUCGGAACGUAUCCUGGAGUGGGGGAUAACGUAGCGAAAGUUACGCUAAUACCGCAUAUUCUGUGAGCAGGAAAGCGGGGGACCUUCGGGCCUCGCGCUCUUGGAGCGGCCGAUGUCGGAUUAGCUAGUUGGUGAGGUAAAGGCUCACCAAGGCGACGAUCCGUAGCAGGUCUGAGAGGAUGAUCUGCCACACUGGAACUGAGACACGGUCCAGACUCCUACGGGAGGCAGCAGUGGGAAUUUUGGACAAUGGGGGCAACCCUGAUCCAGCCAUGCCGCGUGAGUGAAGAAGGCCUCGGUUGU